GGGGGAAACCCUGAUGCAGCGACGCCGCGUGGAGGAAGAAGGUUUUCGGAUUGUAAACUCCUGUCGUUAGGGACGAUAAUGACGGUACCUAACAAGAAAGCACCGGCUAACUACGUGCCAGCAGCCGCGGUAAAACGUAGGGUGCAAGCGUUGUCCGGAAUUACUGGGUGUAAAGGGAGCGCAGGCGGACCGGCAAGUUGGAAGUGAAAACUAUGGGCUCAACCCAUAAAUUGCUUUCAAAACUGCUGGCCUUGAGUAGUGCAGAGGUAGGUGGAAUUCCCGGUGUAGCGGUGGAAUGCGUAGAUAUCGGGAGGAACACCAGUGGCGAAGGCGACCUACUGGGCACCAACUGACGCUGAGGCUCGAAAGCAUGGGUAGCAAACAGGAUUAGAUACCCUGGUAGUCCAUGCCGUAAACGAUGAUAACGGGGUGUUGGAGGAUUGACCCCUUCAGUGCCGC
This 459-nucleotide ribosomal RNA is filed under the name uncultured bacterium. RNAcentral describes it as "bacterial SSU rRNA". It matches the Rfam family "Bacterial small subunit ribosomal RNA", at positions 373 to 849 of the family's 1533-position model. The record is from RNAcentral.